ACACCUUUUAAGAGAGGUCCAGAGAGGCUUAGAAGGGUGUUUGGAGGAAACGCGGGGAUACUUGUACCAUUUUUAGGGACAGGUGUACCUUUGUGGACUCAAAACACCCUGACAAAAGAAGGUCAGGGUGUUUUUUAUU
Molecule: non-coding RNA, 139 nt
Organism: Bacillus sp. SG-1
Lineage: Bacteria; Bacillati; Bacillota; Bacilli; Caryophanales; Bacillaceae
Source: Rfam